This 2856-nucleotide ribosomal RNA is filed under the name Streptomyces sp. NRRL F-4335. RNAcentral's name for it is "bacterial LSU rRNA". It matches the Rfam family "Bacterial large subunit ribosomal RNA". The record is from RNAcentral. Lineage: Bacteria; Bacillati; Actinomycetota; Actinomycetes; Kitasatosporales; Streptomycetaceae.
CCAAGUUUUUAAGGGCGCACGGUGGAUGCCUUGGCACCAGGAACCGAUGAAGGACGUGAGAGGCCGCGAUAGGCCCCGGGGAGCUGCCAACUGAGCUUUGAUCCGGGGGUGUCCGAAUGGGGAAACCCGGCAGUCGUCAUGGGCUGUCACCCACUGCUGAACACAUAGGCAGUGUGGAGGGAACGAGGGGAAGUGAAACAUCUCAGUACCCUCAGGAAGAGAAAACAACCGUGAUUCCGGGAGUAGUGGCGACCCCCGUAGACGAAACAUCAGCGGCUUGCUUGCUCAUCUCCCAAGUAGCACGGGGCCCGAGAAAUCCCGUGUGAAUCUGGCGGGACCACCCGCUAAGCCUAAAUAUUCCCUGGUGACCGAUAGCGGAUAGUACCGUGAACUGCGUGCCUUUUGAAGAAUGAGCCUGCGAGUUAGCGGUGUGUAGCGAGGUUAACCCGUGUGGGGAAGCCGUAGCGAAAGCGAGUCCGAAUAGGGCGAUUGAGUUGCACGCUCUAGACCCGAAGCGGAGUGAUCUAGCCAUGGGCAGGUUGAAGCGGAGGUAAGACUUCGUGGAGGACCGAACCCACCAGGGUUGAAAACCUGGGGGAUGACCUGUGGUUAGGGGUGAAAGGCCAAUCAAACUCCGUGAUAGCUGGUUCUCCCCGAAAUGCAUUUAGGUGCAGCGUCGUGUGUUUCUUGCCGGAGGUAGAGCACUGGAUAGGCGAUGGGCCCUACCGGGUUACUGACCUUAGCCAAACUCCGAAUGCCGGUAAGUGAGAGCACGGCAGUGAGACUGUGGGGGAUAAGCUCCAUGGUCGAGAGGGAAACAGCCCAGAGCAUCGACUAAGGCCCCUAAGCGUACGCUAAGUGGGAAAGGAUGUGGAGUCGCAGAGACAACCAGGAGGUUGGCUUAGAAGCAGCCACCCUUGAAAGAGUGCGUAAUAGCUCACUGGUCAAGUGAUUCCGCGCCGACAAUGUAGCGGGGCUCAAGCGUACCGCCGAAGUCGUGUCAUUGCAGCAAUAGGGCCAACGCCCGCUGUGAUGGGUAGGGGAGCGUCGUGUGCCGGGUGAAGCAGCAGCGGAAGCUAGUUGUGGACGGUUCACGAGUGAGAAUGCAGGCAUGAGUAGCGAUACACACGUGAGAAACGUGUGCGCCGAUUGACUAAGGGUUCCUGGGUCAAGCUGAUCUGCCCAGGGUAAGUCGGGACCUAAGGCGAGGCCGACAGGCGUAGUCGAUGGACAACCGGUUGAUAUUCCGGUACCCGCUUUGAAACGCCCAAUAUCGAAUCAGGCGAUGCUAAGUCCGUGAAGCCGUUCCGGACCCUUCGGGGAAAGGAAAGUGGUGGAGCCGACGAACCAGACUUGUAGUAGGUAAGCGAUGGGGUGACGCAGGAAGGUAGUCCAGCCCGGGCGGUGGUAGUCCCGGGGUAAGGGUGUAGGCCGAGGGGUAGGCAAAUCCGUCCCUCAUUAAGGCUGAGACCUGAUGCCGAGCCGAUUGUGGUGAAGUGGAUGAUCCUAUGCUGUCGAGAAAAGCCUCUAGCGAGUUUCAUGGCGGCCCGUACCCUAAACCGACUCAGGUGGUCAGGUAGAGAAUACCGAGGCGUUCGGGUGAACUAUGGUUAAGGAACUCGGCAAAAUGCCCCCGUAACUUCGGGAGAAGGGGGGCCAUCACUGGUGAUAGCACUUGCUGCUUGAGCUGGGGGUGGCCGCAGAGACCAGCGAGAAGCGACUGUUUACUAAAAACACAGGUCCGUGCGAAGCCGUAAGGCGAUGUAUACGGACUGACGCCUGCCCGGUGCUGGAACGUUAAGGGGACCGGUUAGUGACCUUUCGGGGUUGCGAAGCUGAGAACUUAAGCGCCAGUAAACGGCGGUGGUAACUAUAACCAUCCUAAGGUAGCGAAAUUCCUUGUCGGGUAAGUUCCGACCUGCACGAAUGGCGUAACGACUUCUCGACUGUCUCAACCAUAGGCCCGGUGAAAUUGCACUACGAGUAAAGAUGCUCGUUUCGCGCAGCAGGACGGAAAGACCCCGGGACCUUUACUACAGUUUGAUAUUGGUGUUCGGUUCGGCUUGUGUAGGAUAGGUGGGAGACUUUGAAGCAGCCACGCCAGUGGUUGUGGAGUCGCCGUUGAAAUACCACUCUGGUCGUGCUGGAUGUCUAACCUCGGUCCGUGAUCCGGAUCAGGGACAGUGUCUGAUGGGUAGUUUAACUGGGGCGGUUGCCUCCCAAAGGGUAACGGAGGCGCCCAAAGGUUCCCUCAGCCUGGUUGGCAAUCAGGUGUUGAGUGUAAGUGCACAAGGGAGCUUGACUGUGAGACCGACGGGUCGAGCAGGGACGAAAGUCGGGACUAGUGAUCCGGCGGUGGCUUGUGGAAGCGCCGUCGCUCAACGGAUAAAAGGUACCCCGGGGAUAACAGGCUGAUCUUCCCCAAGAGUCCAUAUCGACGGGAUGGUUUGGCACCUCGAUGUCGGCUCGUCGCAUCCUGGGGCUGGAGUCGGUCCCAAGGGUUGGGCUGUUCGCCCAUUAAAGCGGUACGCGAGCUGGGUUUAGAACGUCGUGAGACAGUUCGGUCCCUAUCCGCUGUGCGCGUAGGAAUAUUGAGAAGGGCUGUCCCUAGUACGAGAGGACCGGGACGGACGAACCUCUGGUGUGCCAGUUGUCCUGCCAAGGGCACGGCUGGUUGGCUACGUUCGGGAGGGAUAACCGCUGAAAGCAUCUAAGCGGGAAGCCUGCUUCAAGAUGAGUAUUCCCACCUCCUUGAGAGGGUAAGGCUCCCAGUAGACGACUGGGUUGAUAGGCCAGAUGUGGAAGCCCGGUAACGGGUGAAGCUGACUGGUACUAAUAGGCCGAGGGCUUGUCCUC